This 253-nucleotide ribosomal RNA is filed under the name uncultured bacterium. RNAcentral describes it as "partial 16S ribosomal RNA". It matches the Rfam family "Bacterial small subunit ribosomal RNA", at positions 524 to 776 of the family's 1533-position model. The record is from RNAcentral.
UACGUAGGGUGCGAGCGUUGCCCGGAUUUAUUGGGCGUAAAGGGCGCGUAGGCGGCCACGCACGUCCGUUGUGAAAUCGCCCGGCUCAACUGGGCGGGGUCAGCGGAUACGGUGUGGCUAGAGCAAGCUAGGGGGCAAUGGAAUUCCCGGUGUAGUGGUGGAAUGCGCAGAUAUCAGGAGGAACACCGAUGGCGAAGGCAGGUCACUGGGCCGCAACUGACGCUGAGGAGCGAAAGCAUGGGGAGCGAACAGG